RNAcentral lists this non-coding RNA (29 nucleotides) under Rattus norvegicus (Norway rat). The record is from RNAcentral. Lineage: Eukaryota; Metazoa; Chordata; Mammalia; Rodentia; Muridae.
UUGCAACAAGAGUAAUGCAAAGUAGGAGG